Molecule: non-coding RNA, 45 nt
Organism: Trichobilharzia regenti
Lineage: Eukaryota; Metazoa; Platyhelminthes; Trematoda; Strigeidida; Schistosomatidae
Source: Rfam
AUCCAACUGACGAGUCUAAAAUAGGACGAAAUACGCGUCCUAGAU